AGAGAAAUGGCAUUUCUAACAAGCUCAUGGGUACUGUUGUUGAUCCUGCAGUUCUGAAGACAACACUUUCAGAUGCUUCCUUUGCUCAGCUGUUUGUGACUCACCUUUACCUUUCAUGUGUGAGGCUGUCACUGUUAAUAUCCUAGCCAUCCAACAGCCAUCUUCCUCUCUUCCUUAGUAACAGAUGCGAAUUGUAUCUAGGGACUUGCCCAGGCCUCUUGCUUCAGGAAAGCCUGCCUUUAAUUCCAGCCCCAGAAUGAGAAUGUUAAUAAGUUUUAGACCAUUAAUUUAAUAAAUCAAAAUGCACAGUAGUCCCAUUCCCCUGUGAAUGACUUAGUCCAAGAUGUGAAUAAAAUCGACUAGGGGGUUUUCUGGGAAAGAUUUUUUUUUUUUCUCUCAAGAAGAUGCAUCUGGAAGAGAUGACCCCUUCUUCUGGAUAUGGAAUGAUAGGCACGAUGGUAAAAGUGCUACAUUUAGAUCUGGACCAUCAAGGAAACUUGAGGAAGUAGAACAGGAAAAAGAAAAACAAUUAGGUUCCUAAAAUAAUGAUGAAUCAUCAAAUUAACCAACCUGGAACUACCCUGCCCCAAGCCUUCCUAUUAGGUGGGACUUCUGUGUCUUGCAGCUGAAUGCAUACUAAUUGAUAUGAUCUAUCUCUCUAGCCAUUUAUCCAUCAUCUAUUUAUCUAUUUUUAACUUGUCUUUAUAGAUUAUAUUUGCUUAAUAAAUGUACAAUGAUUGGGAAAAAGAGUCACAGCACUGUUGGAAUUCAGCUCUGUUUCUUGGGAAGGUUAACUGACCCCUCAUCAUUAUCAUACCAAGAAGUAAUCAUAUUUUCUUCAUCAUGCAGAGAUUUGAAAGGAAUGGAAUAUAGGAAAAUUAAGUCUGAUGGGGUGUGCAAUAGAAAGGCAAAAUUUCAGAAACUCCUCAAGAGGACAGGCCUGAAAAAAGGCACCAGAAUGGAUGCCCUGGAUUCCUGUUCCACAGCGGGAAGGAAACGAAAGCUUCUUUUGCAAAAUAUCUCUGGUGGCUGUGGCUGUGGUGUUGGCUGGCAGCUACGGCUCUGCUAGCCUGGGAACGUCCAUAUGCCAUGGCUGUGGCCAUAAAAAAAAUUACAAUAUCCUUUCUGGUAUCCCUUCAUAUACUCACACUUUAGUAAUUCAUUCUCCACCAUGCAUUCAGUGUGAUUAAAAAAAAAAAUCUACUGGGAACCAUAUCUCAUCACUGAUGAUGGAGCAUGACGGAGGAUAAUGUGAGAAAAAGAAUGUAUAUAUGUAUGUGCGACUGGGUCUCUUUGCUGUACUGCAGAAAACUGACAGAACACUGUAAACCAGCUAUAAUGGAAGAAAUAAAAAUAAUUUUUUAAAAAUCUGAUUCUUCCAUUCUCACUAAGUCCCCUUAAAAACUUCUCAUUUUUUUUCAUUCUUUUAAAUUGUACUGUGGUAAGAACAUUUGAGAGCUACCCUCUUACAGGUUUUUAAGUGUCUGAUACAGUCCUACUAGCUAUAGGCACAAUGCUAUGCAGCAGAUAGCUAGGAUUUAUUCAUCUUGCAUAACUGAAGCUUUGUGCCUAUUGAACAACUUCCUAUUUCCUCCUCUCUCCACCCCUGGCAACCACCAUUCUGCUCUCUACUCCUGUGUGUUUGACUGUCCCAGUUACUUCAUGUAAGUGGAAUCGUACAGUUUACCUGCUUAUGCCACUUAGCGUGAUGUCAUCAAGGUUUGUCCAUGUUGCCAUAUGUUACAACACUUCCUUCUUUUAUAUGGCUAAGUAAUAUUCCAUUGUAUGCAUAUAUCACAUCUCUUUUAUUCAUUCAUCUGUCAAUGGACAUUUAAGUUGUUUUAACAUCUUGGCACUUGUAAAUAAUGCUGCAAUGAAAAUAACAGUGCUAACAUCUCCUGAUUUCAAUUCUUUUGGAUAAACACCUAGAGGUAGGGUUGUUGGGUCUUAUGGUAAUUCUGUUUUUAAUUCUGAGGAACCUCCAUACUGUUUUCCAUAGUGGCCCUACUAUUUUGCAUUCCCACCAGCAGAAUAUGAGGCUUCCAAUUUCUCCAUAUCUUUGCCACACUUGCUGCUGUUGGUUUUUUUCAUAAUAACCAUCCUAACAGGUGUGAAAUGACAUCUCACUGGGGUAUUGAUUUGCAUUUCCGUGAUGAUCAGUGACAAUCAGCAGCCCUUCAUAGACCUGUUGGCUAUGUGUUUGGCUUCACUGGGAAAAUGUCUCUUCCAGUCUAUUUUUUAAUUGGGUUACUCAUUUUUUUUUUUUUAAACUAUUGAGUUGUAGAAGUUCCUUCUAAUUUUGGAAUUAACCCUUUAUCAGAUAGGUGAUUUGCAGUUGCUUUCUCUGAUCUGUGUGUUGUAAAGGCUUCCCAUUUUUUUUUUUUUUUUUUGCAGAUAAACAUUUCAAAUCCCACCUAUCUCUCCGCCUUAUCUGGCGCCACCCUUCAUCACUUGUUCUUUUUGUUCUUGCCCCAAAGGCCUGCUUUCAGUUCUAUAUCCCUGUGUGUGCUUCCUGCCUCGCAAAGCUUUGCAUUCAGUGCCACAUCUUUCUAAAAAGCAUCUCCCACAGCUUUGCCACUUUCAUCUUUCAUAAUUCACCUUAAAUGUCAUUCCCAUAGAGAACAUUUUUUGAGACUAGACUAAAUCUCCUUCUAUUCUUAUAUAUUCUUUUAAUAUCACAAUUCUCUUCUGUGUACUUAUCACAGUUGUAAUUGUAUAAUCAAAUGCACAAUUAAUUAUUCAAUGUCUGUCUCCUAAAUUACCAUGUGAGCCCUUGAGGGCAAAAGCACAUCUGGUGACUACCAUAUCCCUGGUAGCAGACACUAAACAUGGGUUGAACAAUCUCUUUUUUCCUUCAGGCACUUUUUUUUUUUUUUUUUUUUUUUGCUUUUUAGGGCUGAACUUGCGUCAUGGAAGUUCCCAGCCUAGGGGUUGAAUUGGAGCUACAGCUGCUGGCCUACGCCAUGGCCACAGCCACAGCAGCUCAGGAUCCAGCCUUGUCUGUAACCUACACCACAGCUCAUGGCAACACCAGAUCCCCGACUCAUAGCACAAGGCCAGGGAUCAAACCCACAUCCUCAUGGAUACUAGGCAGAUUCAUUUUCACUAUGCCACAACGGGAACUCCCCUUCAGGCACCUUUUCUAGUGACUGCAAGUAUUUCCAGCCACUCUUCAUUCAUCAAACUGUCCAUAAAUACUUGUCCACUUGGUUUUGCACAUGACCUUUCCCGUCGCCUUAGUCAAGUGGGCAAGAAUGGCAAUCUUUUUCCUGCUUCACAGAUGAGAGAAUGAGUCCCAGAGACAUUUAAUCACUUGCCCAUAUUCAUUCAUGUUAGCAUGUGUGAAGUCUGAGAGCCUGACGACUGUUCCCUGGCUUCUCUUUGGACGAGUCACCUUCAGCACAGCAUUACUCAGCUUGCUGAGAAGGAGAACACUCAUGCUGAAGCCGACUACCACGUUCUCCCUCCCUCUGCUCCCGAAUUCUAUGCAGCUUACCCUUGCCUGAGUCACUCACGGAAAGCAUAUGAGAACACAUUGGGUCAAAUCCACCAGCCCACCCAGGAAUGUCCUUCCAUCCCAAGCACAAAGAAAAGGGUCAGUGGAGUAUUCUAGGAACAGCUCUGAUGGGGAAGCAAGAAUUCAAGGCAGAGCAUGUCUCCCCAGUCACCCGCCCACUACUUGCCUGUCCACUACCUGGCAUGUGCUAAAGUAUAAAGACCUGGGAAAUCUUGGUGGUGAAUCAGAGAUUUUCAGUUCCUCUUGGGAAGCAGUAAUUCAACAGACGCAUGAAGGCAGUCAUGGAACUUAGGAUCCCUGCUGUGGCCUGGACCCUCUGGAAGUAAACACGUGGGCAACUUAAAGCUCCCGCAUUCUGUGCCGUGCCCAUGGAGGAAAUCUGCCCAGUCACUGGGAGUAUCUGCUUAAGAGAUAAAANCGGCUUCUGAGAAAUUCCUACAGGGCUGUGGACUCUCUUCCUCCAGCUUCGAACCCUCCUCUGAAGGAGCUCAGGAGCAAGAUCUUCAACACAGGGCACUAUUGGCUGCUUAAAGUUUACCUGCUUUGGUCAAUUGCUUAAUAAGUGAUUCCCACUCUGAAUGAUGGAUACCAUCCCCUGAGGAGGUGGUAAAGCACAGAUGAGGUGCUGCUGACAAUUUGCGUUACACACAAACUGCUCAGUUCUGUAGAAUAAAUAAGUAAAUACAUAAAUACAUAAACAAAGUUUGCCUGCUUUUGUCUUCAUACGAGGAGGCAAGGUAGCCCUGAAUGAGGAAGUACUUAAGAGGGAUAAAGGCCCAGUUUAGAGGCUGUUGGAAGUUUGGAAAAUCUGUAUGACAGUUUGGGCAUCAAAGCUAUACGCCUCUCUUUAUCAAUAAAUAAUUGAUGAAGUUCUGAGUUCACCUUGUGAUAGGAGCAGCCAAGAAGUGCACAAGAAGGGUGAGGGAGUUGGAAGGCAGAGUAGAAAGAAACAAGCCCUAGAGUCGGAAGAAUGACUAUGGUUUCAGAUCUUCUAUUUACUGAAUUAACCUCCUUGGGGCCUGUAUUUUAUUUGUAAAGCACUAAUAGCCUUAGGAAUUUUACAAGGUUAUUAUAAACACUGGGGAAGACAUAUAUUGGGUGGGGGAGAAAACUAGCUUAAGCAGCAUUUUCUUAACUCUUUCAUUUAGUUUUCGUGGGGUUUUUUGUUUGUUUGUUUGUUUGUAUGGCUGUGCCCAUGGCAUGCAAAAUUUCCGAGGUCAGGGAUAGAACCCCUUGCAGUGACCUGAGCCACAGCAGUGACAAUGCUGGAUCCUUAACUGCUAGGCCACCAGGGAACUCCUUUCUCAGUUAAUAAUUAUUUUUCAAGUCCUAUAAUAUACAUUAAUAAAUUUAACAAAUUGACAAAAUUCAAAUUCUUAUGGUAGACCCUUCUAAAUCUCUUCCUUAAUUAAGGCUCUUGAAUGCUCUUGCCACAGUGCAUUAAUUAACACUUAUGUUAAUAUGUCCACAUUCCAUCCUAAACUGUGAGUUCCUCAGAACAGGGAUUGUGUUUUAUUCACCUUUAUGUCUGCACAGAGUCUGUUAGAAGUCCUUUAGGUGAAACAUGGUAUGUUCAAACUAUUAUUCAGACAAGAAAAAAAGUUUUAUGACUAGAGAAUUCUGUCCCAAAUCAAUGUCUAGCCACGAAUUUAGUAAAAUUAAAAAAAAAAAAAAA
This 5192-nucleotide long non-coding RNA is filed under the name Sus scrofa (pig). RNAcentral describes it as "lncRNA (ENSSSCG00015037418.1)". The record is from RNAcentral. Lineage: Eukaryota; Metazoa; Chordata; Mammalia; Artiodactyla; Suidae.